This 776-nucleotide ribosomal RNA is filed under the name uncultured Neocallimastigales. RNAcentral describes it as "partial large subunit ribosomal RNA". It matches the Rfam family "Eukaryotic large subunit ribosomal RNA", at positions 23 to 626 of the family's 3401-position model. The record is from RNAcentral. Lineage: Eukaryota; Fungi; Neocallimastigomycota; Neocallimastigomycetes; Neocallimastigales.
AGAGAGAGACAUGCGCGCAUAUCAAUAAGCGGAGGAAAAGAAACUAACUAGGAUUCCCUUAGUAACGGCGAGUGAAGCGGGAAGAGCUCAAAUUUGAAAUCUUCAAGGUUUUACCUUGACGAAUUGUAGUUUAAAGAAGUGUUUUCUGCUGAAGUUUUGGUAAAAGUUCUUUGGAAUAGGACAUCAUAGAGGAGUGAGAAUCCCGUAUUUGACCAUUAUUUUCAGCUUUGUGAUACACUUUCAAAGAGUCGGAUUGUUUGGGAAUGCAGUCCAAAAUGGGUGGUAAAUUUCAUCUAAAGCUAAAUAUUGGCGAGAGACCGAUAGCGAACAAGUACCGUGAGGGAAAGAUGAAAAGAACUUUGAAAAGAGAGUUAAACAGUACGUGAAAUUGUCAAAAGGGAAGCGUUUGACACCAGUGUUGUUUUCUCGAAAAUCAAUUAAAAAUGGCUCGAUUUUGUAUUGCUUGAGACCUUAAAAGCUCACUGUACAUUUUCCGUGUCUUUUUUAAUGCACUUUUCGUUUAACAAGUCAACAUCAGUUUCUUUUGUUGUAAAAGGGUCAUUGGAAGGUGGCUUUCUUUUCGGAGAAAGUGUUUAUAGCCUUUGGCCUCUGCAAUCGGAGAGACUGAGGUCUGCAGCGUAGACUCUUCGGGGUUAGAUACAUUUGUGCUAAGUUAUAGCUUUUUAUAGACAACUUGUUGACUAUAAUUAGUCUUGUAGCUUACUCGCUUAUGCUAUUUUACCUACGCUUAGGAUGUUGAGUCGUAGAGCACGCAG